RNAcentral lists this ribosomal RNA (497 nucleotides) under uncultured bacterium. Its description in RNAcentral is "partial 16S ribosomal RNA". It matches the Rfam family "Bacterial small subunit ribosomal RNA", at positions 28 to 507 of the family's 1533-position model. The record is from RNAcentral.
GAUGAACGCUGGCGGCGUGCCUAAUACAUGCAAGUCGAGCGAACAGACGAGGAGCUUGCUCCUCUGACGUUAGCGGCGGACGGGUGAGUAACACGUGGAUAACCUACCUAUAAGACUGGGAUAACUUCGGGAAACCGGAGCUAAUACCGGAUAAUAUAUUGAACCGCAUGGUUCAAUAGUGAAAGACGGUUUUGCUGUCACUUAUAGAUGGAUCCGCGCCGCAUUAGCUAGUUGGUAAGGUAACGGCUUACCAAGGCGACGAUGCGUAGCCGACCUGAGAGGGUGAGCGGCCACACUGGAACGGGGACACGGUCCAGACUCCUACGGGAGGCAGCAGUAGGGAAUCUUCCGCAAUGGGCGAAAGCCUGACGGAGCAACGCCGCGUGAGUGAUGAAGGUCUUCGGAUCGUAAAACUCUGUUAUUAGGGAAGAACAAAUGUGUAAGUAACUAUGCACGUCUUGACGGUACCUAAUCAGAAAGCCACGGCUAACUACGUG